CAUCGCAGGAGCAGGCACAGAAAAGCAGUGGGAAGAUGGAGCUGCAGGGAAAAACUCCAAGAGCCAGCAGGAUGGGCUGCUAAUACUUGGUUUAGGGGAUGUCUGGAUCCUGAGGCAACGUCCAUCCAUGCUCUUAAUUCAUUCCUGACAUGAUCCUGUUGUCUCCAUGCUGGUUCCCAACACCCACCAUUGUGCAAGGUCACUGAUGUUGUGCUUCCAUCCACACUCAUUGUGCUAAGAGGUACCUGAGGAUACAGUUUUCUGCUUAUCAUAACACAACUUUAUCUCUGGGUCAGGAAACCUUGCAGCCCAAAUUGUGAUGCAGCUGAUACUGCCUUACUGUUAUGUUGUGCCUUCUGUCACAGUGACUGCAGUCUCCCAGGUUCUUUCUUACAGGAGGUCUCUUUAUUUAUCAGGGGAGAGAGAAUAUGACAAAUUCAGCCAAAUUUUGUCACAAGGAGCAUGUAGAUUUACCUAAAGAGCAAAUCUUCCUGCUUUCCCCCUUUGCCACUAGUGCUUUUGAAGAUCUGGCCUCUCCAUCUCCCCUAAGUGGAAUUGCUCAAUAACCGUGUCUAAGUGCUUUCAAUUUGGGCCAUAUUAAAAUAUGUGGAUUAAAACAGCAUUUCAAACAGUCUGAAAAAAAGGAACUACUGAGAUGAAAAGAGUUCCUGGAACUGAAUGCAGUUAUAUCAAGUGGUGCAGUAGCACUGACCCAUCCAGGCAGCAGUCCCCGAGGUUAGGAGCAGCCCCAGGCUCCGAGGCUGGAUGGACCCUUCCUACAUUUUUUAAAAAGCAAGGCCUGCCACACCUCAUGACCCGUUGUUCAUGCCAGGAUUAUUCGAUCCCAGCAUCCCAACGCGUGGCUGUGGUAUUU
Molecule: long non-coding RNA, 874 nt
Organism: Oxyura jamaicensis (ruddy duck)
Lineage: Eukaryota; Metazoa; Chordata; Aves; Anseriformes; Anatidae
Exons: 3
Source: RefSeq, a predicted model, not a curated record